This 470-nucleotide ribosomal RNA is filed under the name uncultured organism. RNAcentral describes it as "partial 16S ribosomal RNA". It matches the Rfam family "Bacterial small subunit ribosomal RNA", at positions 335 to 797 of the family's 1533-position model. The record is from RNAcentral.
ACUCCUGCGGGAGGCAGCAGUGGGGAAUUUUGGACAAUGGGCGCAAGCCUGAUCCAGCCAUGCCGCGUGCGGGAAGAAGGCCUUCGGGUUGUAAACCGCUUUUGUCAGGGAAGAAAAGGUUCUGGCUAAUACCUGGGACUCAUGACGGUACCUGAAGAAUAAGCACCGGCUAACUACGUGCCAGCAGCCGCGGUAAUACGUAGGGUGCAAGCGUUAAUCGGAAUUACUGGGCGUAAAGCGUGCGCAGGCGGUUAUGCAAGACAGAGGUGAAAUCCCCGGGCUCAACCUGGGAACUGCCUUUGUGACUGCAUGGCUAGAGUACGGUAGAGGGGGAUGGAAUUCCGCGUGUAGCAGUGAAAUGCGUAGAUAUGCGGAGGAACACCGAUGGCGAAGGCAAUCCCCUGGACCUGUACUGACGCUCAUGCACGAAAGCGUGGGGAGCAAACAGGAUUAGAAACCCGGGUAGUCCC